RNAcentral lists this ribosomal RNA (700 nucleotides) under uncultured bacterium. RNAcentral's name for it is "bacterial SSU rRNA". It matches the Rfam family "Bacterial small subunit ribosomal RNA", at positions 94 to 828 of the family's 1533-position model. The record is from RNAcentral.
AGUGGCGGACGGGUGAGUAACGCGUAAGAAUCUAACUUCAGGACGGGGACAACAGUGGGAAACGACUGCUAAUACCCGAUGUGCCGCGAGGUGAAACCUAAUUGGCCCGAAGAAGAGCUUGCGUCUGAUUAGCUAGUUGGUGGGGUAAGAGCCUACCAAGGCGACGAUCAGUAGCUGGUCUGAGAGGAUGAGCAGCCACACUGGGACUGAGACACGGCCCCGACUCCUACGGGAGGCAGCAGUGGGGAAUUUUCCGCAAUGGGCGAAAGCCUGACGGAGCAACGCCGCGUGAGGGAGGAAGGUCUUUGGAUUGUAAACCUCUUUUCUCAAGGAAGAAGUUCUGACGGUACUUGAGGAAUCAGCCUCGGCUAACUCCGUGCCAGCAGCCGCGGUAAUACGGGGGAGGCAAGCGUUAUCCGGAAUUAUUGGGCGUAAAGCGUCCGCAGGUGGUCAGCCAAGACUGCCGUCAAAUCAGGUUGCUUAACGACCUAAAGGCGGUGGAAACUGGCAGACUAGAGAGCAGUAGGGGUAGCAGGAAUUCCCAGUGUAGCGGUGAAAUGCGUAGAGAUUGGGAAGAACAUCGGUGGCGAAAGCGUGCUACUGGGCUGUAUCUGACACUCAGGGACGAAAGCUAGGGGAGCGAAAGGGAUUAGAUACCCCUGUAGUCCUAGCCGUAAACGAUGGAUACUAGGCGUGGCUU